Molecule: ribosomal RNA, 569 nt
Filed under: Perithemis tenera
Lineage: Eukaryota; Metazoa; Arthropoda; Insecta; Odonata; Libellulidae
Description: eukaryotic LSU rRNA
Rfam family: Eukaryotic large subunit ribosomal RNA
Source: RNAcentral
UCGCGGCGGNGUGCGCAGAAGGGUCUGGGCUCGAGCCUGCCUGGAGCCGCCGCCGGUGCAGAUCUUGGUGGUAGUAGCAAAUACUCCAGCGAGGCCCUGGAGGACUGAUGUGGAGAAGGGUUUCGUGUGAACAGCCGUUGCACACGAGUCAGUCGAUCCUAAGCCCUAGGAGAAAUCCGAUGCAAACGGCGAUGGGAAACGCACUUGACUUGUUUAUGUGAGACAGAGACCCAUUGAUCGGGCGAAAGGGAAUCCGGUUCCUAUUCCGGAACCCGGCUGCGGAACCGUUGUUUGUCGGGCCCUCGCAAGGGGUUCGUCAGGGUAACCUAAAAGGGCCCGGAGACGCCGUCGGGGGCCCCGGAAAGAGUUUUCUUUUCUGCAUGAGCGUUCGAGUUCCCUGGAAUCCUCUCGCAGGGAGAUAGGGUUUGGAACGCGAAGAGCACCGCAGUUGCGGCGGUGCACGGGAAUUCCCGACGGACCUUGAAAAUCCGGGAGAGGGCCACGUGGAGGUGUCGCGCCGGCUCGUACCCAUAUCCGCAGCAGGUCUCCAAGGUGAAGAGCCUCUAGUC